GAUGAACGCUGGCGGCGUGCCUAAUACAUGCAAGUCGAGCGGUAACACUUCGGGUGACGAGCGGCGGACGGCUGAGUAACGCGUAGGAAUGUACCCCAAACUGAGGGAUAAGCACCAGAAAUGGUGUCUAAUACCGCAUAUGGUCUUCGGAUUAAAGCUUCGGCGGUUUGGGAACGGCCUGCGUAUGAUUAGCUUGUUGGUGAGGUAAAAGCUCACCAAGGCGACGAUCAUUAGCUGGUCUGAGAGGAUGAUCAGCCAGACUGGGACUGAGACACGGCCCAGACCCCUACGGGAGGCAGCAGUAGGGAAUCUUCCACAAUGGGCGAAAGCCUGAUGGAGCAACGCCGCGUGCAGGAUGAAAGCCUUCGGGUCGUAAACUGCUUUUAUAUGCGAAGACUUCGACGGUAGCAUAUGAAUAAGGAUCGGCUAACUCCGUGCCAGCAGCCGCGGUCAUACGGAGGAUCCAAGCGUUAUCCGGAAUUACGU
Molecule: ribosomal RNA, 486 nt
Filed under: uncultured bacterium
Lineage: Bacteria
Description: bacterial SSU rRNA
Rfam family: Bacterial small subunit ribosomal RNA
Source: RNAcentral